This is a non-coding RNA of Schizosaccharomyces pombe (fission yeast), 1028 nucleotides long. Lineage: Eukaryota; Fungi; Ascomycota; Schizosaccharomycetes; Schizosaccharomycetales; Schizosaccharomycetaceae. The record is from the annotation of a GenBank genome assembly.
AUUCCAGUCGUCAGCAAGUCCAAUGUGCUUAGACGAAAGUUCGUCAGAAGCACCAAAGUCAUCGUUAGAGCCGAAGCUAACAAUGUCUUCCUCAUCUUCUUCAUCCAUAUCACACCAACUGCGGCCAAAUUUAAGAUGAUCCUUGUUUCCUUUAAUACUGUUAGGAAAUACGAUAGCUGGUGCACUGCAAGAAUAGGGAGAACGUUUCGUAUUAACGGGUACUGCUGUUGCAAUGGAUUUUCCAAUAUGCAUAUUAUUGAGACUUUCACCAAGUCCAGAAUCAUAGGAACGUUCGCUAUUGUUGACUGGAGCCAAAGAUGCAGGGCUCCGAGGAGACGACGAGGUUGAAAUGUUCUCAUCAACGUCAGACAAAGCUGGCAACUUUGAAGGAAGAAGACCACGCUGUAUGGUGUUAGCGGGUGUCAAAACAGAUGGAGUACGUAACGGUUCGCGAUCUGAUUGAGUACAACGAACGUUGUCCUCAGCAGGCAUGAAAUCGGAUGCGCGAAAUUCUUCUUCUUCAUUAACGAAGCUUUCCAAUUCCUCAUCAUCUGUCGUCCACUUGGUAACCGCGAGUACGGCUUCCCUCGUUUUGGCGAGAGAACGUUUCUCUGGACUCACACAAAGGCAUGCUCGCAAGACGUUAUAUGUAUCUUGACUCAACGUAGGGAAAACGUCAAAUAAGGUCAUUGCGUCCAACAUGUAAUCAGCAAAUAUAGGAUCCUUUUCGUGUGGAUAGGUAAAAGGAUUACGUGCAAAAAUUAAGUUUAAAAGGCAAAUACCAAGAGCCCAUAUAUCCGCUGCACGAGGGCUGUAACCAGCACCAUCAACUUCCUCAAACUGUUCAGGAGCCAUGUAACGGUCACUGCCAGUUCCAAAGUCAUAAGAUAUUUUGUCCCUGCAAGCAAGUCCAAAAUCACUGAUCUUGACCACAAGCUCAGAUCCAUCUUCUGAAAGAGAAAGAAGAAAGUUUUCUGGCUUUAAGUCACGAUGGUAGAUACCAUGAGAAUGCAAAUGUGCAACACCAU